RNAcentral lists this ribosomal RNA (587 nucleotides) under uncultured Actinomycetes bacterium. Its description in RNAcentral is "bacterial SSU rRNA". It matches the Rfam family "Bacterial small subunit ribosomal RNA", at positions 224 to 823 of the family's 1533-position model. The record is from RNAcentral. Lineage: Bacteria; Bacillati; Actinomycetota; Actinomycetes.
GAUGGGCUCGCGGCCUAUCAGCUUGUUGGUGAGGUAACGGCUCACCAAGGCUUCGACGGGUAGCCGGCCUGAGAGGGCGACCGGCCACACUGGGACUGAGAUACGGCCCAGACUCCUACGGGAGGCAGCAGUGGGGAAUAUUGCACAAUGGGCGCAAGCCUGAUGCAGCAACGCCGCGUGCGGGGUGACGGCCUUCGGGUUGUAAACCGCUUUCAGUUCCGACGAAGCGCAAGUGACGGUAGGAACAGAAGAAGGACCGGCCAACUACAUGCCAGCAGCCGCGGUGAUACGUAGGGUCCGAGCGUUGUCCGGAAUUAUUGGGCGUAAAGGGCUUGUAGGCGGUUUGUCACGUCGGAAGUGAAAACUCAGGGCUUAACCCUGAGCCUGCUUCCGAUACGGGCAAACUAGAGGAAUGCAGGGGAGAAUGGAAUUCCUGGUGGAGCGGUGGAAUGCGCAGAUAUCAGGAGGAACACCGGUGGCGAAGGCGGUUCUCUGGGCAUUUCCUGACGCUGAGAAGCGAAAGCGUGGGGAGCAAACAGGCUUAGAUACCCUGGUAGUCCACGCCGUAAACGGUGGGCACUAGGUGU